AACGCGAAGAACCUUACCUGGGCUCGAAAUGUACAGGAAUCCGGUGGAAACAUCGGCGCCCCGCAAGGGGCCUGUAUAUAGGUGCUGCAUGGCUGUCGUCAGCUCGUGUCGUGAGAUGUUGGGUUAAGUCCCGCAACGAGCGCAACCCUUAUUACCAGUUGCUACCAUUUAGUUGAGCACUCUGGUGAGACUGCCUCGGAUAACGGGGAGGAAGGCGGGGAUGACGUCAAGUCCUCAUGCCCCUUAUGUCUUGGGCUGCAAACAUGCUACAAUGGCCGGUACAAAGGGUUGCGAGACCGCAAGGUGGAGCGAAUCCCAAAAAGCCGGUCUCAGUUCGGAUUGGGGUCUGCAACUCGACCCCAUGAAGUCGGAGUCGCUAGUAAUCGCGAAUCAGCAACGUCGCGGUGAAUACGUUCCCGGGCCUUGUACACACCGACUGUAC
Molecule: ribosomal RNA, 442 nt
Filed under: uncultured bacterium
Lineage: Bacteria
Description: bacterial SSU rRNA
Rfam family: Bacterial small subunit ribosomal RNA
Source: RNAcentral